AACGCGAAGAACCUUACCUGGGCUCGAAAUGUACAUGAAUCCGGCAGAAACGUCGGCGUCUAGCAAUAGACAUGUAUAUAGGUGCUGCAUGGCUGUCGUCAGCUCGUGUCGUGAGAUGUUGGGUUAAGUCCCGCAACGAGCGCAACCCUUAUCUUCAGUUGCUACCAUUUAGUUGAGCACUCUGACGAAACCGCCUCGGAUAACGGGGAGGAAGGUGGGGAUGACGUCAAGUCCUCAUGGCCUUUAUGUCCAGGGCUACACACGUGCUACAAUGGCCGGUACAAACCGCUGCAACCCCGCGAGGGUGAGCUAAUCGGAAAAAGCCGGCCUCAGUUCGGAUUGGAGUCUGCAACUCGACUCCAUGAAGCUGGAAUCGCUAGUAAUCGUGGAUCAGCAUGCCACGGUGAAUACGUUCCCGGGCCUUGUA
Molecule: ribosomal RNA, 427 nt
Filed under: uncultured Acidobacterium sp.
Lineage: Bacteria; Pseudomonadati; Acidobacteriota; Terriglobia; Terriglobales; Acidobacteriaceae
Description: bacterial SSU rRNA
Rfam family: Bacterial small subunit ribosomal RNA
Source: RNAcentral